ACGGGAGGCAGCAGUGGGGAAUAUUGCACAAUGGGGGAAACCCUGAUGCAGCGACGCCGCGUGAGUGAAGAAGUAUUUCGGUAUGUAAAGCUCUAUCAGCAGGAAAGAAAAUGACGGUACCUGACUAAGAAGCCCCGGCUAACUACGUGCCAGCAGCCGCGGUAAUACGUAGGGGGCAAGCGUUAUCCGGAUUUACUGGGUGUAAAGGGAGCGUAGACGGUAAGGCAAGUCUGAAGUGAAAUGCCAGGGCUCAACCCUGGAACUGCUUUGGAAACUGUCCUACUAGAGUGCAGGAGAGGUAAGUGGAAUUCCUAGUGUAGCGGUGAAAUGCGUGGAUAUUAGGAGGAACACCAGUGGCGAAGGCGGCUUACUGGACUGUAACUGACGUUGAGGCUCGAAAGCGUGGGGAGCAAACAGGAUUAGAUACCCUGGUA
RNAcentral lists this ribosomal RNA (434 nucleotides) under uncultured Lachnospiraceae bacterium. Its description in RNAcentral is "partial 16S ribosomal RNA". It matches the Rfam family "Bacterial small subunit ribosomal RNA", at positions 341 to 792 of the family's 1533-position model. Lineage: Bacteria; Bacillati; Bacillota; Clostridia; Lachnospirales; Lachnospiraceae. The record is from RNAcentral.